This is a non-coding RNA of Cinara cedri, 360 nucleotides long. NCBI's taxonomy places the organism in Eukaryota, Metazoa, Arthropoda, Insecta, Hemiptera, Aphididae. The record is from the annotation of a GenBank genome assembly.
CGCCCGGAUGGGGUACAUUACAGUCGAUUGUUCAGCGCCAGACGGCGGGCACCGUAAAAACCUUUGCUCCGCGGACAAUGACCAACACAAUAAUAUUUUAUUCCAUUCUAUGGUGUCCCUGCUGGCGUACGCCGGCAGACCUGUUGCGCCUGCCUGCGUGAAUAGGUUACACGACGGACGUGCUUUGGGACCAGUAUUGUGUGCCCACAUAAUAAUAUUGUACACGCUAGUGUACCUGUAUUACUGUAUUAUGUUAUUAUUGUUUACUUAAAGACGUUUUUAUUUUUUCCCCAAGACGCUCCGAAACGAGUUUUACGUGAGAAUAUAAACGCCGCAUAGGAUAUUACGUUCAACGUGUUU